UCCCUGGUGGCUCAGAGGUUAAAGCGUCUGCCUCUGAUGUGGGAGACCCGGGUUCGAUCCCUGGGUUGGGAA
This 72-nucleotide transfer RNA is filed under the name Ovis aries (sheep). It matches the Rfam family "tRNA". Rfam says of the family: Transfer RNA (tRNA) molecules are approximately 80 nucleotides in length. Lineage: Eukaryota; Metazoa; Chordata; Mammalia; Artiodactyla; Bovidae. The record is from Rfam by way of RNAcentral.